AGAACAGAAAUGUUUUUCUGGUGUGCUGGG
RNAcentral lists this non-coding RNA (30 nucleotides) under Mus musculus (house mouse). The record is from RNAcentral. Lineage: Eukaryota; Metazoa; Chordata; Mammalia; Rodentia; Muridae.